Molecule: non-coding RNA, 751 nt
Organism: Xyrichtys novacula (pearly razorfish)
Lineage: Eukaryota; Metazoa; Chordata; Actinopteri; Labriformes; Labridae
Source: the annotation of a GenBank genome assembly
AAAAUUUGGGGGUUAGUUUUCUCUUCUGAGCUGAGCAUAUAAUUAUGCAAAUAGUGAUCUGACAGUGAUCCGCUGGAGGAGUGCUGAAGAAAAGUGUGUGUGUGUGUUCAGUGUGUGUGUGUGUGUUUGAGGAGGGGGCUGUCAGAGGGGUGACAUUCCAACUUGGGUCCUUUUUGCGCGGAGUUCAUCUUCUGCAGAGCUGCGCGCACAUCACAGAAAGGCCGGAGCAGGCAAGCGUGACAACAACUCUCUGAGAGUAAAAAAAAAAAUUAAAAUAUCAGACUGUGGCAGCACAGGGGGAUCCCCAACUUAUUUCAUGUCAAGGACCCCACCCUUCUCCACCCAUCCCUCCUCCCCCCAAAAAGCCACCAGUAACAGCAGCAGGACCCCCCAUUUGGCAGGAUUUGAUCGUAAAGCUCCGCAGCUGAUGUUAUUUUCUGUAGCAGAUAUGAUUCAGUGUGGAGCUGUCUGUAACUAUCUGUAGCGCGAGUUGACGACAAUAGCUGGCAGGGUGAAAGCUAUAAUCAAAUCAGUCAUAGCUAUUAUACAUUCACACGCUGCAUGCGCUCACUUCCAGCCAGUCAAAGGAGAGACGAGACGGGGACUGUCUCACGUUUGGUUUGGUUUUUGGGAUCCCUGAUCCUCGGGGGAAAGUCUAAACUUAAACCCCACAGACACUUGGAGAUUAUGUUACAGGAGGGAGCAUCAUGUGACAAAAUGAGGCCCGGUUAUUGAUCUGCAAAGAUGGGAC